GGACACAAGUUAUGGGAAGAACUUUAAGGAAUGUCACCUCAAGGUCACUGCAGUGAAGGAUCGACCCGAACCUGAGACAACGAGUGACACCAGUCUGAGAGGAGAUCCUCGGGGAUGGAUUGUUCUCUACUGUGCACUGCGACUGACAGCAGCUCUACUGGUUCUUUAUUAAUUUUAUCUUUGCAUUACCAAAAAUAUUAGUGAUUACUACAGAAAUGAUGCAACAAUCAAUGGUGACAUGAAGUGUCAGGGAGACUGUGGGUGUAGAGUCCAACCACAGGAUCAACGGUUCCAUCCCUGCUGACCCGCGUGUUGAUGAGCCCUUGAGCAAGACACUUAACCCAGCAUUGCUCCUGUAGCUGUGACCACAGAGUGAGAAUGGAGUGAAUAUUAGUUACUGACGGCAGGAAGCUGCUCAUCAGUGUGUGAGAGGAUCAAUGAUCUUAUAUAUUUAUAUAUAAGACGUAAGUUGGAGGAAUGGAUGAAAAAGUGGACGUUAAAAGUCAUUUGUGUCAUUGUGUAACUUCUCAACCUGCAUCACUGACAGUGUUUUUUAUUUAUUAUUAUUUUUUUUUUAAAUCUGACUGAGAUUCAAAGGAAAAGUGUUUUUUUGUUCUAGACCUUCAGCUCCUCUAACAGAGACUCUGACUACUGAACAUAUUCUGCAUUAAGCAUCAUGCUGCUCGUCAUCAAAGACUAAUGUUUAUUCUGGUUUCUGCUUCAGAAAGAAAAGGAAAAGCCAUAAAGCCUGUAUGAAGA
Molecule: non-coding RNA, 759 nt
Organism: Gasterosteus aculeatus aculeatus (three-spined stickleback)
Lineage: Eukaryota; Metazoa; Chordata; Actinopteri; Perciformes; Gasterosteidae
Source: RefSeq, a predicted model, not a curated record